CUACGGGUUGCACCAGUUAAGAAUAUUUUGCAAUGCGCGCAAGCGUGACAAAUUGAACCAGAGUGCUUUUCAAUUUGAAAAGCUUUUGCCAAAUCUAAAACGUUUGGCGAAUAAGGACUGGGUAAGACGAGUGCCAGCCGCCGCGGUAAUACUCGCGGUCCAAGUCGCAGCCAUAUUUAUUGGGUCUAAAACAUCCGUAGCUUGCUUGAUAAGUUUCUUGUGAAAUUCCAUAUCUUAAGUAUGGAGCGCGCAGGAAGUACUAUUCAGCUAGAGACUGGAAGACGUAAGAAGUACGAUUGAGGUAAUGGUAAAAUAUGUUAAUCUUAAUCGGACUAACAACAGCGAAGGCAUCUUACGAGGACAGUUCUGACAGUAAGGGAUGAAGGCUAGGGGCGCAAAACGGAUUAGAUACCCUCGUAGUC
Molecule: ribosomal RNA, 422 nt
Filed under: uncultured archaeon
Lineage: Archaea
Description: partial 16S ribosomal RNA
Rfam family: Archaeal small subunit ribosomal RNA
Source: RNAcentral